This 860-nucleotide long non-coding RNA is filed under the name Homo sapiens (human). RNAcentral's name for it is "uncharacterized LOC105377603, transcript variant 1 (LOC105377603)". The record is from RNAcentral. Lineage: Eukaryota; Metazoa; Chordata; Mammalia; Primates; Hominidae.
ACUGCGGCUGCGCCGCUUACCCGCACACAGACGGUUGGCAGAGGAAGAAAGCCUUGUCACACUAAAGGAGAGACAGCGGAUGUUCUGAACAGUCCUGUCGUGAAACGUUAGACAACGUGGACGAAACAGGCACAUUCCUAAGCAUCACACAUUACUGAAACUCAGUCAAGAAGAAAUAGAAAAUCUGAAUACAUCCAUGGCAAGCACAGAAACUGAACUAGGGGAUUCGAAAUCUUCCCACAAAGAAAAGCCUAGGCCCAACUGGCCUCUAUGUUUCAGACUUUGGACAACAUGUAGCCCAGGACAGUGAUCCCUGAGAAAAGGAAGACAAAUGAGGUGACACUGUGAUAGACCCAGAUCAACGCCUGGAAAAAGUUUCAAAGCUACAAUGUGAGGAGUGGGGACAAAACAGUCUAGUGGCUUUGCUGAGUGGAGAAGGCAAGUACUGGAGUCCAGGCAAAGUAUUGGUGAAGGUGGAGCCCUGGAGAAAAAGAACUCUAGAGAUCUGUAAGAGGCUCUCCUUGAAACUUCUACUGAGCACAGUUCUGCACAUGCAUGUAUAGAAUUUACUCAAGAUGAAGAAAGAACCAACGAAAAAAAGCAUAGUAUAAUGCUGAGAACUCAUAAAAUCGAGUAGGAAAUCUUGCCUAUUGAAAGAGCAUUGAGACAGAGUCCUCAGAAGGAAUUUUCUCAGUGGUGGGAACAAAUUAGCUAUAAACCCAAGUUUGCUCUGAUAUUGCUAUAACAAAGCUUAAAAGCAACUCUCAAAAGGCUCAAACUGAGUACAAAACAUCUAAUUGUAACCCAGGGUACUUCCCAACAGUAUUCAAGGGAAUAAAAUAUUUUGUGUAUAUUUUGUA